Molecule: ribosomal RNA, 253 nt
Filed under: uncultured bacterium
Lineage: Bacteria
Description: partial 16S ribosomal RNA
Rfam family: Bacterial small subunit ribosomal RNA
Source: RNAcentral
UACGAAGGGGGCUAGCGUUGUUCGGAAUCACUGGGCGUAAAGGGCGCGUAGGCGGCUGUUCAAGUCGGGGGUGAAAUCCCGUGGCUCAACCACGGAAUGGCCUUCGAUACUGGACGGCUCGAGACCGGAAGAGGUGAGUGGAACUGCGAGUGUAGAGGUGAAAUUCGUAGAUAUUAGGAAGAACACCAGUGGCGAAGGCGGCUCUCUGGACCGAGACUGACGCUGAGGCGCGAAAGCGUGGGGAGCAAACAGG